AUUGAACACUGGCGGCAUGCCUUACACAUGCAAGUCGAACGGCAGCACGGGAGCAAUCCUGGUGGCGAGUGGCGAACGGGUGAGUAAAGUAUCGGAACGUGCCCAGUCGUGGGGGAUAACGUAGCGAAAGUUACGCUAAUACCGCAUACGAUCUAUGGAUGAAAGCGGGGGAUCGCAAGACCUCGCGCGAUUGGAGCGGCCGAUAUCAGAUUAGGUAGUUGGUGGGGUAAAGGCUCACCAAGCCGACGAUCUGUAGCUGGUCUGAGAGGGCGACCAGCCACACUGGGACUGAGACACGGCCCAGACUCCUACGGGAGGCAGCAGUGGGGAAUUUUGGACAAUGGGCGAAAGCCUGAUCCAGCCAUGCCGCGUGCAGGAUGAAGGCCUUCGGGUUGUAAACUGCUUUUGUACGGAACGAAAAGGUUUGGGCUAAUAAGCUGAGCUCAUGACGGUACCGUAAGAAUAAGCACCGGCUAACUACGUGCCAGCCGCCGCAGUAA
This 500-nucleotide ribosomal RNA is filed under the name uncultured bacterium. RNAcentral describes it as "partial 16S ribosomal RNA". It matches the Rfam family "Bacterial small subunit ribosomal RNA", at positions 30 to 523 of the family's 1533-position model. The record is from RNAcentral.